CCUACGGGGGGCAGCAGUGAGGAAUAUUGGUCAAUGGCCGUAAGGCUGAACCAGCCAAGUCGCGUGAAGGAAGAAGGAUCUAUGGUUUGUAAACUUCUUUUAUAGGGGAAUAAAGGUAUCCACGUGUGGAUAUUUGCAUGUACCCUAUGAAUAAGCAUCGGCUAACUCCGUGCCAGCAGCCGCGGUAAUACGGAGGAUGCGAGCGUUAUCCGGAUUUAUUGGGUUUAAAGGGUGCGUAGGUUGUUUUUUAAGUCAGCGGUGAAAGUUUGUGGCUCAACCAUAAAAUUGCCGUUGAAACUGGAAGACUUGAGUGUGUUUGAGGUAGGCGGAAUGCGUGGUGUAGCGGUGAAAGGCAUAGAUAUCACGAAGAACCCCGAUUGCGAAGGCAGCUUACUAAACUGUGACUGACAUUGAUGCUCGAAAGUGUGGGUAUCAAACAGGAUUAGAUACCCCGGUAGUC
This 460-nucleotide ribosomal RNA is filed under the name uncultured bacterium. RNAcentral's name for it is "partial 16S ribosomal RNA". It matches the Rfam family "Bacterial small subunit ribosomal RNA", at positions 338 to 795 of the family's 1533-position model. The record is from RNAcentral.